GAGAGCAAGUAAAUGAAUUAUCUGCUUCUUUCCCUUGAAUGAUUUAGGGUCUUAAUUGAGCUUUCUAACUGGGUGGAAUGCACAGAUCUGCAUGGAGCCCUGGCAGAAGGUAACAGUGUGAGAUUGUGCAGAGAAUGCAAAGAUCUCAUCAUAACAUCAUUGGUGCAGAAGUGUUCCCUGCUCCCUGGCCCAAUGAGGAAUGAGCAAGAGAUGGAGGAUAAUUUAUUCAAUAACCUCACAUUCAGGUUGCAGGCUCCCAUCCACAGCCCGUGUGGGAGGGAGGUCUCUUCAUAUCUCCUCUUCUACCCACCUCCCUCCCGCCCCGCUACCACGCACACACACUCAUACACAUCCAUACAAUUCCCUUACAAUUAGGAAGACACCUAUUCAGCCCAGCUCUUAUUGCUGGGCUUUUGUUCCUUCUCGUCUUGGCUGGCAAAGCUAUUCCCUCUGUUUCCUUUGGAUGAUCCUGGACCUCACCUGCCAUAGGGGAUGCCCCAGUUUACCUUUGCUUGCUUCUGCGGACUCCAUGGCUUCUGCAAGACGAAGAGGAAAAAGGAAGAGCCCAGUGCAGGGCAGGAGACAUCUGUAUGAGACUUCCCUGGGUGUCUCAUUCACAUCGCUGGAUCCCAGCCCUGGUUGGAACUUGAGACUUGACUGGCUUGGAAGAAAAGCUGAUGCUCAGAAAUGACCUUGCAGAAGAGCCACAAAGAGGCAUUAUCCUGAGUGCUAUGGUGUCUCAGCACUGAUCCCCGGUCUCAAAGGUGCUUGGCCUUGGGCCCCACAGCUAGAGUUUGUCCCUUUGCCGGGAAAAGUUUUGUUCAUGAGAAAUCUGUCCUAGUCUUGUUCAAAUAUGCCUCCAUGGGCACACUGAAGGAGAUUUCGAAACCAAGAGCCAAGUCCUGCUCUCUGUUUCUCUGGAGGGAGGGGGCAGCAGGAUUUGUCUCUGUAUUCUUAGGUUGUCUCACUUUUACACUGUCAAAUGAAAAUGAACAACUUGUAGAGUUGUUUUAGUAUCCCCAAGCUAGCACCUGUAUCUAAAAGAAGCAGUUCCUAACACCACUGAGACAUUUUGUGCUCUGAUGCACUAGAUGCAUGCAGGCAGGGGACUGGACUUGAAGACCUCUCGAGGUCCCUUCCAGUCCUAGUAUUCUAUGAUUCUAUGCCAGCCUGGAGAAACCCUUGCGAAGUGAGGCAAACAAACUGAGCUUUGAUCCUGUUCUCUUUUGCACUGGUGCAUAUCUGGAGUGAUUCCACAGAAGUCAAUGAUGGGAGAGAAGACUCAUGCCUUUUAUGUGUCCGUAUGAACGAUGGGAAGUUAAUUUUGCAGUUGGCACCUUUUCCAUAAUGGACUUAACUCAAAAUCCCUGAACUCUGUGUGGAGGGGAGUUUGGAAGUGGAGCCUAGAUCUCAGUUUGUAGCUCAGGUCCCUGACAGGCAUGUACGCACCGUCCAGUGGUUCUCUCCCUGUCCCAUAAUGGGCGCCCUCUUCCAGUUUAGCAAUCUGGGAAAGGCAGAGUGGACACGACCCUCUGGCACCUGUUCCUGUACGUGGUGCGGGCCACAACUCCCCAUUAUAAGCGCUCAUGGACUCAAAGAAAUUGAUGCAGCUGACAGUCUGGAAAAUGCCAGUGUUCAAAUCGUUAACCUUUUUCCUGGCACUGCCCAGGUAUAGCAGUUAGUGUUAGUGUAGCUGCAGCUUCAAAGAUUGUCCCUGUUUUCUCCCUGCCUGUCUGUACGUCUUUCCUGCCUGUUGUUUAAGCCAUAGGGAAACUUCCUGGGUGCUGUGCCUUUCAGGAGGCGUUGCAGACAGACUCUCCUCUUCCGCAGCGGGGCUGGAACAAUUUGUAUCGUGGGGGUGUUGAAAACCAUUUCACCAAACUGUAAAUCCUGUAUGUAAUGGAAACCACUUCUAGGCAGAGGAUGCGGCAGCACCCCCACACCCCUAGUUCCAGCAUCUAUGCUCUCCAAGUACCUUAAAUAACCCCAGCAGCUGUCCUUGUGGGUCUCAGAAAGUAUAGCUAUUUCUUAGCCUGUUCCAAAGAGCACGGAAGUCCGUAGAAACUCUCCCUUUGAUUUCAAUGUGUUUGGCUCAGGCCCUCAGUUAUCACUCAGGAAGGUCUUCAUGUGGCAAUGUUGGAGAUGGAUUGAAGCCAGUCCCUGGCUCUGAUCACCCCCAGGUGUAUGACACUGGAAAUCCAGACCCAAAUUUAGCCGCUUAGACCCAGCUCUGGUAAACUCAGGCAGCCUCAGUCCCUUCCCUCCUGAAUCCUUUGCUGCCACCUGCAAAAUGUGCGGCCCGUGAGGCUACUAGAAGUUUGUGCUUAAGAUGUUGGUGACAGGGAGGAUGGUCACAAAGUAUCUCGAGCCCUUUCAGUCAGAAUCAAGAGCAGCAGCUGCUGCUUUCAAGAACAGAUGGCAAGGCCUGAGCUGGGUGCAUGACCGAGUCAGAAAGACAGGCUGUCCACAAGACAGGAUGUGAAGGUCACCAUGGAGAGCAGGGGAGGGGUUCAAAAUGGCUGCCGCAAGCAGGGCUGUUUCAGCCAGUUCUAGGGUUGCCAGAUGGUUUCAGCAAAAAUACGGAACACACUUGACAUGACAUCCCAAUCUACGUUACAUCUUA
Non-coding RNA from Pelodiscus sinensis (Chinese soft-shelled turtle), 2623 nucleotides. The record is from RefSeq and is a predicted model, not a curated record. NCBI's taxonomy places the organism in Eukaryota, Metazoa, Chordata, Testudines, Trionychidae.